RNAcentral lists this long non-coding RNA (514 nucleotides) under Gossypium barbadense (sea-island cotton). RNAcentral describes it as "long non-coding RNA (GBAR_LNC018786)". The record is from RNAcentral. Lineage: Eukaryota; Viridiplantae; Streptophyta; Magnoliopsida; Malvales; Malvaceae.
AACAUGGAUGAAAAGUUUCACUUUGUUUUACAGAAAGCUAAACCAUUAAGAGCUAUCCCACAUUCAAUUUGAUCCUGGUUUUAUCUGUUUUCUGUUAUUAUCUCAAGUACUGGAAAUGAAUAAGCUUGGAUCUAUUCUGUAAAACCUCCAAUUGUACAUCAAUAAGAUCCUGAGAAUCGAUUAUAAUGUCUGCUACGGUCUUUUUCUUGGAUAUGAAUAAGCUUGGAUCAAUUUGAUCCUGGUUUUAUCUGUCUGCUGUUAUUAUCUCAAUUACGGGAAAUGAAUAAGCUUGGAUCUAUUCUGUAAAACCUCCAAUUGUACAUCAAUAAGAUCCUGAGAAUCGAUUAUAAUGUCCGCUACGGUCUUUUUCUUGGAUAUGAAUAAGCUUGGAUCAAUUUGAUCCUGGUUUUAUCUGUCUGCUGUUAUUAUCUCAAGUACGGGAAAUGAAUAAGCUUGGAUCUAUUCUGUAAAACCUCCAAUUGUACAUCAAUAAGAUCCUGAGAAUCGAUUAUAA